CUGUUUCCCAAGUAACAGGGAUAUCAACCUUUGUUGUUAUGCUUUUGUGAUAAUAUUUUUCUCUUUCAACAAGCCACCACCCAAAUCAAGUUUCCUCCUUUUUAUCUCUUUCACAGUGCUGUAAUUGCAUGAGCCAGCAAUUACUCAGCAGCUGGUCCGCACCUGUUCCUAGUCCACCCUUAACAAAACCAAAAACAAAAUAGUGUUCUUUUACCUUCGACUUCGAACUUUCUCUAUCCAUUCAUACCCUGCCGCGUGUAUUGGUGUACUAUCGCCAACACCCCCUUGGUUUUUAACUCUUCAUUCUUCCCUCUUUCCUUCUUCCCAUGGCGAUCCAAGGUGUUUUCUGUUAGGCCCUUUUUCACCCAUUUCCACACAAAAAGGACAUAGUAUUGGAAAGGAUGAUUGACAAUGUUAAAGAAUCUGGUGGAAUUUACUUUGUUGAUGACAACCAUCUAAGUCGACCAACAACUAUUCUAUGUUUGAACUCUGUUUCUAGUUUUUAUAAGGUUAUGAUUUGACAUUAUAGGCUUGGGCACCCUAAUUUUUACUAUUUAAGACAUUUGUUACCUAAUCUAUUUAACAAUAAAAGUCAUUCAUAUCGCUGUGAAUUUUGUGAGUUGACUAAACAUCAUCGAUCAUUCUUUCCACUUCAAGAAUAUAAAGCUUCCAAACUUUUUUCAUUAAUUCAUAGUGAUGUUUGAAACCCUUCAAGAGUCUAAACUUUUUUAGGAAAACAUUAGUUUGUCACAUUUAUUAAUGAUCAUACUCGCAUUUAUUAGGUAUUUUUAUUAAAAGAUAAGUCUGAAGUUAAAAAUGUGUUUUAGUUUUUUUAUGCUAUUGUGAAAACACAAUUUGGUGUGAAAAUAAAAGUAUUUCGGAGUCACAAUAGUGGGGAAUUUUUUAGUGACCAAUUAGGUGUUUUUUUAACUAAACAUUGAAUAAUUCUCCAAAGCUCUUGUACAAAUACACCACAACAGAAUAAGAUUGUAGAAAGAAAAAAUAGUCAACUUUUGGAAAUAAUUAGAGCCUUGAUAUUCACUAGUCAGGUUCUAUGUUAUCUUUGGGGAGAAGCCUUGUUAAUGGCUACAUAUCUAGUGCCCAGUAAAACUCUAAACUAUAUAACUCAUUUCAGUCUUUUUAAAGAUAACUUUCCUAAUUCUAAAUUGAUCACAGAUUUACCCCUUCGUGUUUUUAGGUGUAGUGUUUUUGUUUAUCUUCACAACCAAGGUAAACUAGAUCCUAGAGUUAAAAAAAUGUUUUGUUGGGUAUGAUCUAAUAAAAAGGGUUAAAAAUGUUAUGAUCCAAUUGAUAGGAAGAUUAUUGUUACCAUGGAUGUCACAUUUAUUGAAACACAAUCUUACUUUGAUUCUAAUCUCUAAGGAGAAAUUAAAGCAAGGAAGAUUCAAUAAUUGAUCAAGAAAAGGCUAAGAAUAUACAACAUGGAGAUUCUAAUAAUGGGAAAGACAGAUUGAUGAUCAAUAUAGACAUUAAUGAUGUUAAUAAAAAGGACUUGAAUAAUGUUAAUGUUGUUAAUAAAAAGGAAUAUGAAGGUGUAAAGUCUGAUCAUGAGAAUAGAGAACAAACAAAGGAGUUGUUGGUUUACUCAAGAAAAUGGAAUCCACUACAUUUAUACCAAGAAUUCGACCCUUAAGAUCUUGUCAACAGUCCAGGAAGGUUUUGACCUUUGCUUACUAUCCUUGAAUCCCUUCCCAGAUUCCCCUAUCAUUAGUGGAUUGAGGCGUCUUUGAGCUUCUCCGUUCAUUUUUGCAUUUUUUUCUGUUGGAAUCCUUUUAUGUUCUAGAAACGGUUUGAGUUCUAAUUUUGAGGCUUUCAUGACAGCUUCAUGUAUUGGUUUUUGAUCAUCGAUAAUUCCUGUUGCUCAUGAUUUGUAACUUAUCAUUAGGAUGUCUCAUAUCCUCAUAAACAUUAAACUUAACCACUUAUUUGUCAAAUUUCAUAGUGAGUAUUCCACUCCAAA
This is a long non-coding RNA of Gossypium arboreum, 1981 nucleotides long. RefSeq lists it as uncharacterized. The transcript is spliced from 3 exons. Lineage: Eukaryota; Viridiplantae; Streptophyta; Magnoliopsida; Malvales; Malvaceae. The record is from RefSeq and is a predicted model, not a curated record.